GUCCUACGGGGGGCAGCAGUGGGGGAUAUUGCACAAUGGGGGAAACCCUGAUGCAGCGACGCCGCGUGUAGGAAGACGGUCCUCUGGAUUGUAAACUACUGUCCCCAGGGACGAAGAUGACGGUACCUGGGGAGGAAGCUCCGGCUAACUACGUGCCAGCAGCCGCGGGAAUACGUAGGGAGCGAGCGUUGUCCGGAAUUACUGGGUGUAAAGGGAGCGUAGGCGGGGAUGCAAGAUGGGGGUUAAACCUACCGGCUCAACUGGGAGUCGCAGUCAAAAGUGCAGCCCUUG
This 291-nucleotide ribosomal RNA is filed under the name uncultured bacterium. RNAcentral describes it as "partial 16S ribosomal RNA". It matches the Rfam family "Bacterial small subunit ribosomal RNA", at positions 335 to 644 of the family's 1533-position model. The record is from RNAcentral.